Molecule: ribosomal RNA, 497 nt
Filed under: uncultured bacterium
Lineage: Bacteria
Description: partial 16S ribosomal RNA
Rfam family: Bacterial small subunit ribosomal RNA
Source: RNAcentral
GAUGAACGCUGGCGGCGUGCCUAAUACAUGCAAGUCGAGCGAACAGACGAAGAGCUUGCUCCUCUGACGUUAGCGGCGGACGGGUGAGUAACACGUGGAUAACCUACCUAUAAGACUGGGAUAACUUCGUGAAACCGGAGCUAAUACCGGAUAAUAUAUUGAACCGCAUGGUUCAAUAGUGAAAGACGGUUUUGCUGUCACUUAUAGCUGGAUCCGCGCCGCAUUAGCUAGUUGGUAAGGUAACGGCUUACCAAGGCAACGAUGCGUAGCCGACCUGAGAGGGUGAUCGGCCACACUGGAACUGAGACACGGUCCAGACUCCUACGGGAGGCAGCAGUAGGGAAUCUUCCGCAAUGGGCGAAAGCCUGACGGAGCAACGCCGCGUGAGUGAUGAAGGUCUUCGGAUCGUAAAACUCUGUUAUUAGGGAAGAACAAAUGUGUAAGUAACUAUGCACGUAUUGACGGUACCUAAUCAGAAAGCAACGGCUAACUACGUG